This 450-nucleotide ribosomal RNA is filed under the name uncultured bacterium. RNAcentral describes it as "partial 16S ribosomal RNA". It matches the Rfam family "Bacterial small subunit ribosomal RNA", at positions 354 to 796 of the family's 1533-position model. The record is from RNAcentral.
GUGGGGAAUCUUCCGCAAUGGACGAAAGUCUGACGGAGCAACGCCGCGUGAGUGAAGAAGGUUUUCGGAUCGUAAAGCUCUUUCGUUAGGGACGAACGUGCUCUUUGUGAAUAAUGAGGAGUAAUGACGGUACCUAAAUAAGAAGCCACGGCUAACUACGUGCCAGCAGCCGCGGUAAUACGUAGGUGGCAAGCGUUGUCCGGAAUUAUUGGGCGUAAAGCGCGCGCAGGCGGGAUAUCAAGUCUGUCUUAAAAGUGCGAGGCUCAACCUCGUGAGGGGACAGAAACUGGUAUUCUUGAGUGUCAGAGAGGAAAGUGGAAUUCCAAGUGUAGCGGUGAAAUGCGUAGAGAUUUGGAAGAACACCAGUGGCGAAGGCGACUUUCUGGACGAUGCCUGACGCUGAGGCGCGAAAGCUAGGGGAGCGAACGGGAUUAGAUACCCCAGUAGUCC